Molecule: transfer RNA, 75 nt
Filed under: Buchnera aphidicola (Therioaphis trifolii)
Lineage: Bacteria; Pseudomonadati; Pseudomonadota; Gammaproteobacteria; Enterobacterales; Erwiniaceae
Rfam family: tRNA
About the family: Transfer RNA (tRNA) molecules are approximately 80 nucleotides in length. Their secondary structure includes four short double-helical elements and three loops (D, anti-codon, and T loops). Further hydrogen bonds mediate the characteristic L-shaped molecular structure. tRNAs have two regions of fundamental functional importance: the anti-codon, which is responsible for specific mRNA codon recognition, and the 3' end, to which the tRNAs corresponding amino acid is attached (by aminoacyl-tRNA synthetases). tRNAs cope with the degeneracy of the genetic code in two manners: having more than one tRNA (with a specific anti-codon) for a particular amino acid; and 'wobble' base-pairing, i.e. permitting non-standard base-pairing at the 3rd anti-codon position.
Source: Rfam by way of RNAcentral
GCUGAUAUAGCUUAGUUUGGUUAGAGCACAUCCUUGGUAAGGGUGAGACCCUCAGUUCGAAUCUGGGUAUCAGCA